UACAGAGGGUGCAAGCGUUGUUCGGAAUUAUUGGGCGUAAAGCGCGUGUAGGCGGCUUUGCAAGUCGGGUGUGAAAUCCCUCAGCUUAACUGAGGAAGUGCGCCCGAAACUGCUUUGCUUGAGUGCCGGAGAGGAUGGCGGAAUUCCCCAAGUAGAGGUGAAAUUCGUAGAUAUGGGGAGGAACACCGGUGGCGAAGGCGGCCAUCUGGACGGUAACUGACGCUGAGACGCGAAAGCGUGGGGAGCAAACAGG
RNAcentral lists this ribosomal RNA (253 nucleotides) under uncultured bacterium. RNAcentral's name for it is "partial 16S ribosomal RNA". It matches the Rfam family "Bacterial small subunit ribosomal RNA", at positions 524 to 776 of the family's 1533-position model. The record is from RNAcentral.